This 478-nucleotide ribosomal RNA is filed under the name uncultured bacterium. RNAcentral describes it as "partial 16S ribosomal RNA". It matches the Rfam family "Bacterial small subunit ribosomal RNA", at positions 28 to 523 of the family's 1533-position model. The record is from RNAcentral.
GACGAACGCUGGCGGCGUGCUUAACACAUGCAAGUCGAACGGUAAGGCCCUUCGGGGUACACGAGUGGCGAACGGGUGAGUAACACGUGGGUGAUCUGCCCUGCACUUCGGGAUAAGUCUGGGAAACUGGGUCUAAUACCGGAUAGGACUCCUGGCUUCAUGGUUGGGGGUGGAAAGCUUUUGCGGUGUGGGAUGGGCCCGCGGCCUAUCAGCUUGUUGGGGGGGUAAUGGCCUACCAAGGCGACGACGGGUAGCCGGCCUGAGAGGGUGACCGGUCACACUGGGGCUGAGAUACUGCCCAGACUCCUACGGGAGGCAGCAGUGGGGAAUAUUGCACAAUGGGCGCAAGCCUGAUGCAGCGACGCCGCGUGAGGGAUGACGGCCUUCGGGUUGUAAACCUCUUUCAGCACCGACGAAGCGCAAGUGACGGUAGGUGCAGAAGAAGGACCGGCCAACUACGUGCCAGCCGCCGCGGUAA